UGAGGAAUAUUGGUCAAUGGGCGCAAGCCUGAACCAGCCAUCCCGCGUGCAGGAAGACGGCCCUAUGGGUUGUAAACUGCUUUUCCAGGGGGAGAAUUUUUCUGUCGUGACAGGAAUUGACGGUACCCUGGGAAUAAGCAUCGGCUAACUCCGUGCCAGCAGCCGCGGUAAUACGGAGGAUGCGAGCGUUAUCCGGAUUUAUUGGGUUUAAAGGGUGCGUAGGCGGAUUGAUAAGUCAGUGGUGAAAACCUGCAGCUUAACUGUAGACUUGCCGUUGAUACUGUCAGUCUUGAGUGUGGUCAAGGUAGGCGGAAUGUGUAAUGUAGCGGUGAAAUGCUUAGAUAUUACACAGAACACCGAUUGCGAAGGCAGCUUACUGGGCCAUUACUGACGCUGAUGCACGAAAGCGUGGGGAUCGAACAGG
Molecule: ribosomal RNA, 424 nt
Filed under: uncultured Bacteroidales bacterium
Lineage: Bacteria; Pseudomonadati; Bacteroidota; Bacteroidia; Bacteroidales
Description: bacterial SSU rRNA
Rfam family: Bacterial small subunit ribosomal RNA
Source: RNAcentral